GAGUUUGAUCCUGGCUCAGGAUGAACGCUAGCGGCAGGCCUAACACAUGCAAGUCGAGGGGUAACAGGAAGUGCUUGCACUUCGCUGACGACCGGCGCACGGGUGAGUACCGCGUAUACAAUCUGCCUCAUACUAGGGGAUAGCCCGAAGAAAUUUGGAUUAAUACCCUAUAGUAUCUUUUUAAGGCAUCUUAUUAAGAUUAAAGGUUACGGUAUGAGAUGAGUAUGCGUUCUAUUAGCUAGUAGGUGUGGUAACGGCACACCUAGGCUACGAUAGAUAGGGGCCCUGAGAGGGGGAUCCCCCACACUGGUACUGAGACACGGACCAGACUCCUACGGGAGGCAGCAGUGAGGAAUAUUGGACAAUGGGCGAAAGCCUGAUCCAGCCAUGCCGCGUGCAGGAUGACGGCCCUACGGGUUGUAAACUGCUUUUAUACAGGAAGAAAAACUUUCUCGUGAGAAAGCUUGACGGUACUGUAAGAAUAAGGAUCGGCUAACUCCGUGCCAGCAGCCGCGGUAAUACGGAGGAUCCAAGCGUUAUCCGGAAUCAUUGGGUUUAAAGGGUCCGUAGGUGGAUAGAUAAGUCAGAGGUGAAAUAUUGCAGCUCAACUGUAGAACUGCCUUUGAUACUGUUUGUCUUGAGUUAUUGUGAAGUGGUUAGAAUGUGUAGUGUAGCGGUGAAAUGCAUAGAUAUUACACAGAAUACCGAUUGCGAAGGCAGAUCACUAACAAUCAACUGACACUGAGGGACGAAAGCGUGGGUAGCGAACAGGAUUAGAUACCCUGGUAGUCCACGCCGUAAACGAUGGUCACUAGCUGUUUGGACUUCGGUCUGAGUGGCUAAGCGAAAGUGAUAAGUGACCCACCUGGGGGAGUACGUUCGCAAGAAUGAAACUCAAAGGAAUUGACGGGGGCCCGCACAAGCGGUGGAGCAUGUGGUUUAAUUCGAUGAUACGCGAGGAACCUUACCAGGGCUUAAAUGUUAGGUGACAGAUUUAGAAAUAGAUCUUUCUUCGGACACUUAACAAGGUGCUGCAUGGUUGUCGUCAGCUCGUGCCGUGAGGUGUCAGGUUAAGUCCUAUAACGAGCGCAACCCCUGUUGUUAGUUGCCAGCGAGUAAUGUCGGGAACUCUAGCAAGACUGCCAGUGCAAACUGUGAGGAAGGUGGGGAUGACGUCAAAUCAUCACGGCCCUUACGUCCUGGGCUACACACGUGCUACAAUGGUAGGUACAGAGAGCAGCCAGUGCGCGAGCACGAGCAAAUCUACAAAACCUAUCUCAGUUCGGAUCGGAGUCUGCAACUCGACUCCGUGAAGCUGGAAUCGCUAGUAAUCGGAUAUCAGCCAUGAUCCGGUGAAUACGUUCCCGGGCCUUGUACACACCGCCCGUC
This 1389-nucleotide ribosomal RNA is filed under the name uncultured marine bacterium. Its description in RNAcentral is "bacterial SSU rRNA". It matches the Rfam family "Bacterial small subunit ribosomal RNA". The record is from RNAcentral.